RNAcentral lists this long non-coding RNA (752 nucleotides) under Nicotiana benthamiana. Its description in RNAcentral is "long non-coding RNA (NBEN_LNC018454)". The record is from RNAcentral. Lineage: Eukaryota; Viridiplantae; Streptophyta; Magnoliopsida; Solanales; Solanaceae.
CUCGUCUCUCCUCCAAAAAGUCAAAUUAGUAUGGACGGGAUUUCUUUGGAAUAUCACUGACCUUUAAACAAAAAAAAAAAAAAAAAGAAAGAAAGAAAAAAUAUCUAGAUGGUCAUCAAACAUUUAAUAUUUGGAUGGUGCUCUGAGCUCCAAUAAUACUAGCGGUUGAAGCAAUAGUUUUUGACAUUAUGUUUGAACAACAAUAACAUAUUCACAUCCUCUGGUUUGGGUUCCAUAAACCAGAGGGAGAAAAGACGCUUUAAUUAAUUUGCUAUGGCCUGAGCUGUAAAAAAUCCAAUAAUAAUAAUCUUGAAGAAUGCGGGAGGAAGCUGUUGUGCCUGUGGAUAUAAUUGAUGAUAUGAGCAGUGAAAAUGAUGAUAUUGAUGAUGAAGAACAACAUAUCUCUGAUCAGCCUGCAGGCCAAUUAGCUUGUCCUCUUGACCUGAAAUCUUCAAGACUAAACGCUUUGCUUAGAUUACGAUGUAGGGUUGAAGAUGCCAUUCUUGGUGGUUACAUUUACGGCAAAAAUAAACACAAGUUGCUCUCUUCCAGAUUAUGUAUUACAGAAAAUUUGAGGGAAAUUUCUUUAUCUAUGGCGAGCAAUAUCAUAUAUCUGAUCAGCCUGCAGGCCAAUUAGCUUGUCCUCUUGACCUGAAAUCUUCAAGGAUAAACGCUUUGCUUAGAUUACGAUGUAGGGUUGAAGAUGCCAUUCUUGGUGGUUACAUUUACGGCAAAAUUAAACACAAGUUGCU